This 1852-nucleotide ribosomal RNA is filed under the name Fibroporia norrlandica. RNAcentral describes it as "eukaryotic LSU rRNA". The stretch from base 554 to 1852 matches the Rfam family "Eukaryotic large subunit ribosomal RNA", at positions 1 to 1284 of the family's 3401-position model. Lineage: Eukaryota; Fungi; Basidiomycota; Agaricomycetes; Polyporales; Fibroporiaceae. The record is from RNAcentral.
UGGGGUUGUAGCUGGCUCUCUCGGGCAUGUGCACACUCUAUUCAUCCAUCUCUCUAUACACCUGUGCACCUUUUGUGGGGAAUAAGUUGAAAGGAUUUUCUUAGUAAACCUCCCUACGUUUUUAUCAUAAACCCUAGAAUGUCUUUGAAUGUUUUUGCAUUAACAAUGCAUUUUAAUACAACUUUCAGCAACGGAUCUCUUGGCUCUCGCAUCGAUGAAGAACGCAGCGAAAUGCGAUAAGUAAUGUGAAUUGCAGAAUUCAGUGAAUCAUCGAAUCUUUGAACGCACCUUGCGCUCCUUGGUAUUCCGAGGAGCAUGCCUGUUUGAGUGUCAUGGAAUUAUCAAUCCUCUUUUACUUUAUUGUAAAAGAUGGACUUGGAUUUGGAGGUUUUUUGCUGGCUGCAUUUAUUUUGUGGUCGGCUCCUCUUGAAUGCAUUAGCUCGAGUCUUUGACGGGAUCAGCUUAUCGGUGUGAUAAAUGUUACAUCGUUGUUGGUUUUCGUGAAUUGAGCUUCUAAUCGUCCUUUGCGGGGGACAAAUUUACAUUUGACAUCUGACCUCAAAUCAGGUAGGACUACCCGCUGAACUUAAGCAUAUCAAUAAGCGGAGGAAAAGAAACUAACAAGGAUUCCCCUAGUAACUGCGAGUGAAGCGGGAAAAGCUCAAAUUUAAAAUCUGGCGGCUUUUAGUCGUCCGAGUUGUAGUCUGGAGAAGUGUUUUCUGCGCUGGACCGUGUACAAGUCCCUUGGAACAGGGCGUCAUAGAGGGUGAGAAUCCCGUCUUUGACACGGACUACCAGUGCUUUGUGAUGCGCUCUCAAAGAGUCGAGUUGUUUGGGAAUGCAGCUCAAAAUGGGUGGUAAAUUCCAUCUAAAGCUAAAUACAGGCGAGAGACCGAUAGCGAACAAGUACCGUGAGGGAAAGAUGAAAAGCACUUUGGAAAGAGAGUUAAACAGUACGUGAAAUUGCUGAAAGGGAAACACUUGAAGUCAGUCGCGUUGUCCGGAAAUCAACCCUGUUUUAUUGACACGGUGUAUUUUCUGGUUGACGGGCCAGCAUCGAUUUUGAUUGUUGGAUAAAGGUGAAGGGAAUGUGGCACCUUCGGGUGUGUUAUAGCCCUUUGUCACAUACAACGGUUGGGAUCGAGGAACUCAGCACGCCUUUAAUGGUCGGGGUUCGCCCACGUUUCGUGCUUAGGAUGCUGGCAUAAUGGCUUUAAAUGACCCGUCUUGAAACACGGACCAAGGAGUCUAACAUACCUGCGAGUGUUUGGGUGGUAAACCCGAGCGCGUAAUUAAAGUGAAAGUUAAGAUCCCCGUUACAAGGGAGCAUUGACGCCCGGACUUGACCUUUUGUGAUAGCUCUGCGGUAGAGCAUGUAUGUUGGGACCCGAAAGAUGGUGAACUAUGCCUGAAUAGGGUGAAGCCAGAGGAAACUCUGGUGGAGGCUCGUAGCGAUUCUGACGUGCAAAUCGAUCGUCAAAUUUGGGUAUAGGGGCGAAAGACUAAUCGAACCAUCUAGUAGCUGGUUCCUGCCGAAGUUUCCCUCAGGAUAGCAGAAACUUGUAUCAGAUUUAUGUGGUAAAGCGAAUGAUUAGAGGCCUUGGGGUUGAAACAACCUUAACCUAUUCUCAAACUUUAAAUAUGUAAGAACGAGCCGUCACUUGAUUGGACCGCUCGGCGAUUGAGAGUUUCUAGUGGGCCAUUUUUGGUAAGCAGAACUGGCGAUGCGGGAUGAACCGAACGUGAGGUUAAGGUGCCGGAAUACACGCUCAUCAGACACCACAAAAGGUGUUAGUUCAUCUAGACAGCAGGACGGUGGCCAUGGAAGUCGGAAUCCGCUAAGGAGUGUGUA